GUGCCAGCAGCCGCGGUAAUACGUAGGGUGCGAGCGUUAAUCGGAAUUACUGGGCGUAAAGAGUGCGUAGGCGGUUGCUGAAGUCUGCUGUGAAAGCCCCGGGCUCAACCUGGGAAUGGCAGUGGAAACUAGGCGACUUGAAUCUGGCAGAGGGGGGUGGAAUGCCACGUGUAGCAGUGAAAUGCGUAGAGAUGUGGCGGAACACCGAUGGCGAAGGCAGCCCCCUGGGCUGAGAUUGACGCUCAGGCACGAAAGCGUGGGGAGCAAACAGGAUUAGAUACCCUGGUAGUCC
Molecule: ribosomal RNA, 292 nt
Filed under: uncultured bacterium
Lineage: Bacteria
Description: partial 16S ribosomal RNA
Rfam family: Bacterial small subunit ribosomal RNA
Source: RNAcentral